RNAcentral lists this ribosomal RNA (253 nucleotides) under uncultured bacterium. RNAcentral describes it as "partial 16S ribosomal RNA". It matches the Rfam family "Bacterial small subunit ribosomal RNA", at positions 524 to 776 of the family's 1533-position model. The record is from RNAcentral.
UCCGAAGGGGGCUAGCGUUGUUCGGAAUCACUGGGCGUAAAGGGCGCGUAGGCGGCCGAUCAAGUCGGGGGUGAAAGCCUGUGGCUCAACCACAGAAUUGCCUUCGAUACUGUUUGGCUUGAGACCGGAAGAGGUUAGUGGAACUGCGAGUGUAGAGGUGAAAUUCGUAGAUAUUCGCAAGAACACCAGUGGCGAAGGCGGCUGACUGGUCCGGUUCUGACGCUGAGGCGCGAAAGCGUGGGGAGCAAACAGG